UGACUUCGUUCGCCUCAGGUCACCGGU
This 27-nucleotide small RNA is filed under the name Bombyx mori (domestic silkworm). Its description in RNAcentral is "ovarian small RNA-8192". Lineage: Eukaryota; Metazoa; Arthropoda; Insecta; Lepidoptera; Bombycidae. The record is from RNAcentral.